This 73-nucleotide transfer RNA is filed under the name Ixodes scapularis (black-legged tick). It matches the Rfam family "tRNA". Rfam says of the family: Transfer RNA (tRNA) molecules are approximately 80 nucleotides in length. Their secondary structure includes four short double-helical elements and three loops (D, anti-codon, and T loops). The record is from Rfam by way of RNAcentral. Lineage: Eukaryota; Metazoa; Arthropoda; Arachnida; Ixodida; Ixodidae.
CCCUGGUUAGCUCAGUUGGUAGAGCGCUCCACCUGUAAUGGAGAGGUCCCAGGUUUAAUACCCGAACCAGGCG